CAGGGACUCAGCUAGGUAAUUGUUGUGAGUGGCUGAUUUUAUGCGAGAUUAUAUAUGGAGUUUAGAUGCCUGUAUAUGUUGCAAAAUACAAGUACGAUUGAAAAGAAGAAGAAAAAAACCAAACAAAUUUGUUAGGGUGAGACUGAGACAUAUAUUCUUGCUCUCUUUAAGCACAUUCAGGCCUACUACACUAUGUUUGUCACUGUAUUACCAGUUUGUGGCUGAACUGAGAUAAUUUGGGAAGAAAAUUCCAUUGACCAGAUUGGACUCCAAGUUGAAUUAGCAUUUGACCGUUUGAAAACUGACUUACUCUGUGAUUACAGAGUCACUAGCUCGAUUAGCUGUCCCUCUAUAAAUUUAAUUGGUGAUCGAAAUGGACAUGGACUCCUUACAUCCGUACUCGUACUAUAACUAGGUACUCAUUGUGAGCGGUUGAAACUUUCAUCUAGAUUAUUUCUGAAUG
This 463-nucleotide unclassified non-coding RNA is filed under the name Hevea brasiliensis (rubber tree). The record is from RNAcentral. Lineage: Eukaryota; Viridiplantae; Streptophyta; Magnoliopsida; Malpighiales; Euphorbiaceae.